RNAcentral lists this long non-coding RNA (1031 nucleotides) under Pelobates cultripes (western spadefoot toad). The record is from RNAcentral. Lineage: Eukaryota; Metazoa; Chordata; Amphibia; Anura; Pelobatidae.
ACACAUAUAUACAUACACACACAUAUACAUGUACAUAUAUUGGUCACUCAGGACAUGAAAUCACAUUUCCCAUACUGCUGACUCAGAGUGGGGACACUACUAACUUACCAAAGUGUGUCCCCAAUAUAGACAAACAAUCACCCACAAAAAACACUUAAGACAAACAAAGGUGACCGGGAGAAAGAGAAGUUUGGGUUAUACUUAUAGAUAAUAAACCGGAGACUCUUAUGGUCUCAAAAACCUGUAUCUACCUGAGAUACCCUGUAUCUAUCUUAGAUACUAACCUGGGUUACCAAAACCCUAUAAUAAACCGGAGACCUCUUAUGGUCUCAAAAACCUGUAUCUAUCUUAGAUACUAACCUGGGUUACCAAAACCCUAUAUAUUUAGACCAAAUGUCUAAUAAACCGGAGACCUCUUAUAGUCUCAAUAUAACUAGAGUCCUUACACCUUUCCUAUCUACUGGAUACAGUCUUACUGAACCAAACGGGGGGUCAUAGACAAUCAGCGUCAAAUAAGACACAAAAAGGCUACUCACCGCAAAUGGUUUUGCUGAUCCAACUUCUAUCCCACUUCUAGACACCAAGCUGAAAGGGUUAAUGUUGUAAUGGACUCUAAUCCCCUCGGUUCUCGAUCCCUCGGUCACCAUAAUCAACGUUGAUGGAGGAUCAUUGUAAGCAUUAACACACGGACAACAGCUUUACAAGACUCUCAAAUGAGUGUAUUCCAGAGCUGGCUUUUAUAAAUAGUUUGCUUACAUUAGCCAUGGUAUAUGCAAAUACAGUACAGACUAUAAGAUUUAUUACUUCCUUAUAUUACGUUAUUCUGACAAUGGAAAGAUAAGCUUUUGCAUACGUCUGGAAAAGAAUAUCCUUAAAAUCGGAAUGGGCAAGACAUCCUGAAAUUUAGCAUUGUCUUACAUCCUAUAGAAGAAAUACCUUAGUCUGUCACAGUCAGCAUUAUGUCGUAUAUUGAGUUUAAGUAUUCAAUAUUCCUUCAGUCAGCAAUAAUCAUGUUAUAAACCUUAUAAAAG